GCACUCACUUGGGCAGCACAGACACUGAAACUGGAACAAUACAGAGAAGAUUAGCAUGGCCCCUGUGCAAGGAGGACAUGCAAAUUCACAAAGUGUUUUCUAAACAU
Molecule: small nuclear RNA, 107 nt
Organism: Lemur catta (Ring-tailed lemur)
Lineage: Eukaryota; Metazoa; Chordata; Mammalia; Primates; Lemuridae
Source: RefSeq, a predicted model, not a curated record